AGAGCUUUGGCGCAGGCCGCCUGCGCGCUGUGCCAGGAAAGCGCUUGGAGAAAAUGUCCGGCCCCGCGACCUGGGACAGGAAGUGAUGGAGCACGGACUUAGUUUGCCUUUCAGUUCUUGUAUAAAUAGUUUUGAGGGUUGUCUCUGAAUUUUCACUCAGUUGUCUACCAAGAUGUUGAAUGGACCCAGAGCCAAGGACGUGGUCUUUUAUCAGUGGCACCUGAGACUUUCUUCCCUGUGGACGCAAAUCCAUUAUUCAGCACUCUGGGCACAGCUACAGAUCUGAUCAGCUAUCCAUUCUCCAAACUAUCUCAUCCUCUGUCCCAUUUUUCUGUCUCUCUUGUCCACAAGGCAUAUACCUGAGAGUUUUCAAAUUCCUCAGAGAAAUUUAGAUAUUCUGUGGCUUUGGCAUUCACCUAAUGUGUUAAUCUACAAACCUUUUUUACAGUGUGGAUUUUUUUUCAUGAUGUGAAUUCAAGUGGUUUCUAAUGGUCUCUUCAUAAAGUUGUAAACCAAAAGUAAAAUUCUAAGGCCCCACCCCAUCUGAAUGGACCCCUUCUCUGGGCCAGGGCACUCCAAAUUAACCUGAAAACCGUUCAGGCCACGACAUGAAGUGGGGGCGGGUGGGACAUGGCUGACUAUGCCCUCCUCCCUUUUGGAAUUCAGGGAAAGCCAACACAGACCUUAAGUCUAAUGAGAAACACCAUCUAUUCUCUCUGAAGCCUGCUACCCCAAGGCUUCUUCUGCUGAUAAAACUUUGGUCUCCACAACCUCUUAUAACCCAGACAUUCCUUUCUAUUGGUAAUAACUCUCAACUAAUUGCCAAUCAGAACAUUUUUAAAUCUACCUAUAACCCAGAAGCCCCCACUUUGAGUUGUCCUGCCUUUCUGGACUGAACCAAUGUAUAUCUUGAAUAGAUUUGAUUGAUGUCUCACGACCCUCUAAAAUGCAUAAAACCAAGUUGCACCCCAGCCACCUCCUGAGGUCUGUGUCAUGGGCGUGGCCACUCUAUUUGGCUCAGAAUAAAUCUCUUCAAGUAUUUCACAGAGGUUCAGCCUUUUCAUUGACAAAGUAUUCAUAUCACUUGUUGAAGAAUCCUUUCUAGAAUCUUCCACAGCUCUUUGAGCUGUAGUUUCUGAAGUCCAUCUUUAUUCUCCCUCCCAUCACUGGCUCCUGUUUUGUUCUCCAGAACUCUGAAAAUACUAACAACUAUGAUUUUGUGACCCAAUUUGGAAGUUCUUACAGGGAAACCUCAGCAAGAAACAGCUCAGUGCUAGACGCAGUGGCUCAUGUCUAUAAUCCCAGUACUUUGGGAGGCUGAGGUGGGAGGAUCACUUGAGGCCAGAACUUCAAGACUAGCUUGGGCUAUUUUAAAAUUUUUUAAAAGGGGGAGCAUCUCAGUGACUGCAGCAGGCCUCAGCCUCCACUCCCAACAGUUAGUUGGGCUCUACCAACUGUUGGCCGAGUCUCCAACCUGGAGUACCACAGCCAUCAUCACCCAUGGCACCCAGGAGUGCUCCGUCAUGCUUUCCCUUUAGUUCUAGGGGUAGAAAAUGCCUUCAUUCAAGAGAGGACACACUUAAUGAAUGCAACCAGCUAGAAUCCACCCUUUUAAUAUUUAAAUAUAAUCCACCCUUAUAAUAUUUAAAUAUGUGGCUUUGUUUAAUCCUCCCCAUGCCAAGGCACCAUAUCCACAUUUUACUGAAGAGAAAACUAGAGUUCAGAGAAGGUAACUUGCCUAAAGCCAAGCAGGCAGUAAGAGGAGAUUCAAGCCCAGAUCCUUUUGUGCUUUUUCUGCAUCAUCUCAGGGGCAGCAAGGCUGACUCUUGAAAGGGAGGUUAAUUACUAUGAAAUUAAGGUUUAAAGAAAAAACACCCUGGCCAGGCGCGGUGGCUCACAGCUGUAAUUCCAGCACUUUGGGAGGCUGAGGCGGGUGGAUCAAGACCAUCCUGGCUAACAUGGUGAAACCUCGUCUCUACUAAAAAUACAAAAAAUUAGCCAGACGUGGUGGCAGGUGCCUGUAAUCCCAGCUACUUGGGAGGCUGAGGCAGGAGAAUGGCGUGAACCCGGGAGGCGGAGCUUGCAGUGAGCCGAGAUUGCACCAGGCACUCCAGCCUGGGCAACAGAGUGAGACUCCGUCUCAAAAAAAAAAAAAGAAAGAAAAAACACCCUGCGUGCAUACUCAUAUGAAUGUACAAAUGGAUGAGUCUAGAACAAGAGAUACUAGCCUGUUACAUACACAAACUAUGCAGCUGCAGUCCCUGCUGCUUCUACAACCCUGACCUCUAAGAAACCUCUAGCUCUGAAUCCUGUCAGUACCUGGGCUGUGCUGCUUGGGACAACAUUGUCUUCACAAGUCCUCUCCACAUUCUCAGAGGUGGGGGUAUUGCCAAUGAUGGGGGUUGCUGCCUGAGUCCCGUCACCAGGGGACAAAGCUACAGCAGAGACCACCAUCUGCCAACAAAAAGAGAGAUCAUCUCCCACCCCUGGUUCUGCUGACCCAAUCACUGGAAGCAUCAAGGCACCACUAUCUCCUCAUCUGCCUCAGAUUCAAUUUCCUCCUAGCCAGGUCUGUUCUAAGCUCUCCAGAAGUUGAGAAAUUAACUGAAAGAUAACACUUUCCUCCCUGCAUUAAGGUUCAUCACAUAAUGUAUCCAAAUACUGGGUCAGUCUUUCCUUUGGUCUCGUUUCUCUCAGCUAAUUUGAAAAUGCCUUUUCUGUUUUCAUUAGAAUUUUUCUAAAUGUUUCUGGGCACUUGUGUUCCUGAGGCUUUCCAUAGUGCACCCUCUUAUGCAUCUGAUGUCUUUGGCACAUAUAGGCCCUCAACAAGUAUUUGUUAAAUGAACAGAUAACCAUCCUGUCCUUUGUGUGAACAAGCAUAUGCAAGUGUACAUUGUAUCUGUACAUGUAUCCAACAGCAUCCAUCUGAAGCCACUUUGUUCGCUUAUUUUCUCAGGAUGACUGAUGGCUGCAUCAUGACAUUUGCACACAGAAUCUUUUCUUCUCCAGUCACUUUUCCUUUUUCCAGAUUCCCGCCAUAGAAUUCCAGGGACAGAGCCAACCAUGCCUGGCACCCCCUCCUGUCCUGGGACAAUGAUACUUUCUCCCGUGACUCCCAUCUUCCUUCCAACAUUCUUCUGCUAGAAUUCAGUAAGGAAGACAAUGACUUACCACUUUUAAUUUUUUCCCCUUUUUUGCUUUUCUACCAAAUACUGCUUUUAACACAGGCUUUUCACUGAGUAGUGGACAAUCUAUCAGCUAGGUGCUAUUCAGUGUGAGGGGCAUUUGCAAAGGUCUGCAUCAGUGCUGGCUGAUGGAACUUUCUAGUGAUAGCAUCAUUCUGUAGCUGCACUGUCCAGUGCAGAGGCUACUUGCCACUGUGGCUACUGCUCAGGAUGGUGCAGGUCUGAAUAUCUUAGACACAGCGGCCACCGUGUCUACUGCACGGGACUGAAUAUUUUAGACACAGCGGCCACCGUGUCUACUGCACGGGACGGCGAGGGUCUGAAUAUCUUACAGACAGCGGCCACCGUGUCUACUGCACGGGACGGCGAGGGUCUGAAUAUCUCAGACACAGCGGCCACGGUGUCUACUGCACGGGACGGUGCAGGUCUGACUGUCUUAGACACAGCUCACCUUUGAUCCGUGUUAGGAAUUAUCCACAUCUCCUCUCUGGGCAAUAUUCUACUUUCUUUUUAUAUUGACCCAAUUAUUUUACUUCUUUGGUGUGUCCUUUCUCCUCACACACAUGGGUUCACUUUAAAACCUUGAAACCCACAUUUAUAAAACAUUUUCAAUAUGAAACAUCGUUCCAUGACUCAUAUAGUACUCCAUGGAGUACUAUAAACAUUUACAUUUCCAGACCACCCACUGCCCAGUGGUUUUCCUGGUCUCAGUACUCAUGAAAAUGGUCUGAAGGUUUGUUUUGGGUUCCUAAGCAGUAGACACACACACAACACUGCCUGUCAGUUAUUUCUUGGAAACUAAAUCAGCCCUUCUGUUGCCAUCCUAUCAUGCUUCAGGGGUGCCUGUGCUAGUUUUUAAUUCUUUGUCCUAACACUUAAAUGUUUGCUCAAACGCCCAUAUUAAUACUUCCUCUUAGUUUACAAAAGGAUUUACUUUCUUACUGGUUGGGAUGAAGCUGCCUGAGGUUGCCACCUGUUACUUUUCCUUCAUUUAUUGGACCAAGUCAUCCCAUUACAUGUCAGCUGUGGAGGUUUUCAAACUGUGGUCCCUGGACAUGUUAGAAAUGCAAAUUCUCAGGCCGAACCAGGACUGAACCGGAAGAUCUGGGGUAGGGUCCCUCCAGGACUGAAUCGGAAGGUCUGGGGUGGGGUUCCCCCAGGACUGAAUCGGAAGAUCUGGGGUAGGGUCCCCCCAGGACUGAAUCGGAAGAUCUGGGGUAGGGUUCCCCCAGGACUGAAUCGGAAGGUCUCGGGUAGGGUCCCUCCAGGUGAUCCUGUUACACAGGUUAGAGAACCACAGCAUUGGGGUGGCAAUUUGACAACUCUUUUUUUUUUUUUGAGACAGAAUCUCGCUCUUGUUGCCCAGGCUGGAGUGCAAUGGCGCACUCUUGGCUCACUGCAACCUCCGCCUCCCGGGUUCAAGCAACUCUCCUGCCUCAGCCUCCUGAGUAACUGGGAUUACAUGCACCCACCAUCAUGCCUGGCUAAUGUUUUGUAUUUUUAGAGAUGGGGUUUCACUAUGUUGGCCAGGCUGGGACAAUUCUUAAACUGUCAUUCUUUACUCACUUAUUUGCAGGAAUUCUUCUGUAAAGAACUUUUCCUAAUCAGCAAGGUUUCCCUGAUUGCAAUUUGUAGACAGAAGGUGGGAUAAUCGCUGAUCUUCCCUCAAGUGUCCACUCCCAGUGUUAGGAGUUAGUGCCCUAGGUACCUCCAAGAGUGACCAAUUACAUGUGUUUGGUUGGUUGGUUUUGGCUUUGAAACCAUCACUAUGAAUUCAUGGUUUUCAUGUAUUAGAGACCAAGUCUAGGUGCUUCAUGUGCCUACUGCUCCUGGGGCAGAGCUAGGAAAUGUGUCUAUGUGAAAGGAACAACAGAGUUAAUGCUUAUAUUUCUAUUUCAAAUUUAGUAUAUGGUUUUACACCUUUUUCUCAGAAAAAUCUUUUUUUAUUUUUUGAGAUGGAGUUUUGUUCCUGUUGCCCAGGCUAGAGUGCAGUGGCACAAUCUAGGCUCACUGCAACCUCCGCCUCCUGGUUCAAGAGAUUCUCCUGCCUCAGCCUCCUGAAUAGCUGGGAUUACAGGCACCUGCCACCAUGCCCAGCUAAUUUUUGAAUUUUAGUAGAGAUGGGGUUUCACCAUGUUGGCAAGGCUGGUCUUAAACUCCUGGCCUCAGGUGAUCUGUCCACCUCGGCCUCCCAAAGUGCUGGGAUUACAGGUGUGAGCCACCGCACCUGGCCAGAAAAAUCUUAGUUUUAGCAUUAACAUAAUUAGUUAUAGUUUUAACUCCCACCCCAGAUAAUUUCAAAGGCUUAAUACCAAUAAGACAAGUAACAAGGAGAUGAUUGAUUGAAAUUUAGGAUUUCAGUGGCUCUAUUUGUCUUUAAACUAUGGCUCACUAAAUCUGCAUACUUGAAGUGCUGCGUUCUGGCGAUGCUCUGAUGACACACGAAGUAAUAGGCUGUGUGACUGUCACCAGCCUGAUGUGCAGUUGGGCUGCAGAACCCUGUGAUGCUGCCUAGCCCAGCCAGCCCCAGGUCACUCCUCAGACUCAAACUUGAUUCUGACACCACCAGCACCCGGGAUGCUGCCUAGGGGCUUUCUCUGGUGGCAGGAGCAUGUCCUGGAUUAGGCCGGGGUGCCCGGAAUUGACCAUCCUGACCCUGUGGAGCGUGGGCUGGUGAAGGAAUGCACCAGCUCCCACAAUGAGCACGGGCCCAGCUGCCCACGUGGGAUCCGGCUCCCAGACACCCUGUGCCCUCACCUCUUUCCUGUCUUACCUCCCGCUUCCCUUCAGCUGCUGCUCAGGGCCACCUUCCAAAUUUUGGUCUCAGGGUUGGCACCUGCAGAAGACAAUCCAAGGAAUUUAGAUUCAUUCAUUUCAGAUACUAUUCUUUCAAUUUUAGGGACUAUCUUAAAACUUAGUUUGGUAAUAUGUAAAACACUUAUAAUUUCAAAGUCCAGAUAUUACUUCAGAGUCUAUUUCAGUCUCACUUCCACCAUUGACCCCUGUCCUCCACAGCAACCACUUUAGUUUUUUAUCUUUGUACUGUUUUAAGAAAAAGCAAAUAUAUAUUUGCAUUAUAUGAUAUGUACUCUGCCCCUUAUCAAUAGGUCUUCCUCAUCCCUCCUUCUGGUACUGAGUUCCCCACUGUACGAAUUAAUGUUCCUAAUCCCCUACUGAUGGACAUUUUGAUUGUUUCCAGUUUUACAAAUGCCACAGUGAAGAACUUGGUUGCAAACAUAUUUAGGCGUGAAAAGAACUCUGUGAGUAAAGUCCUUUCAUUUUUUUGCCAGAGUUUUUUUUGAGGCAGUCUAGAAUUGCUGAGUCAAAGGGCAAAUGCCACAUACUUUUGUUAGAUGCUGCCAAAUCCUCUUCCAUGAGGUUGCAAUGUUCUGCAUUCCACAGUGACGUAUGAGAGUCCUUGUAUCCCACAGCUUCAUAAACAAAGCAUGAUGUCAAACCUGCACAUUUACCAAUCACACAGGUGAGAAAUUUUAUCCUAGUUUCACCUUUGUUUUUGGUUCGCAUUUUUAUGACCAGCUUUUUUAUGGUGUAAUGCACAGAAGAUAAUGAACACACUCUACCCACAAGCUUCUUCCUGUGCCUUUGGAAUCUGCUCCUGCCAGUCUGCAGGGAACCACGGAUCUGCUUUCCGUCACGUAGGAGGCAUUCUCGACACCCUCUGUACACAGUAUGCACUUUUAAAAUUUGGCUUCUCUUACACAGCAUAGUGACUUUCAGAUUUAUUCAAGCUGCUGCGUGCACCAAUAGUCCGCUCCUUCCUAGUGCUGAGGCCCCCAUCACAUGAGCACAACUGUUUCCUGUGUGUGAUGUGUUGUUCUCUGGCUGUGCACUGCCAAAAAAGACAUCAUUAAAAAAAAAAUCUAAAUAUAAUGUAAAACCUGCCUUGUCUUAGGAAAAGUUUUUCUGGCAGUGGCUCACACCUAUAAUCCCAAUACUCUGGGAGGCUGAGGCAGGAGGACUGCUUGAGCCCAGGAGUUUGAGACCAGCCUGGGCAAGAUGGUGAAACCCUGUCUCUGUAAAAAAUAUAAAAAUUAGCCAGGCAUGGUGGCUCACACCUGUAGUCUCAGCUCCUUGGGAGGCUGAGGUGGGAGGAUUGCUGGAGCCCCGGAGGUGGAGGUUGCAGUGAGCCGAGAUCACAGCACUGCACUCCAGCCUGGGCAGCAUGGCAAGACUCUGUCUCUACCAAGAAAAAAAACAAAAAAUUAAUAUAAGGAAAAACAAAAGGUUUUUCUUACCAAAAAUACACUUUAAGGAACAAAUUUAUCAUAUUAAGUUGGUGCAAAAGUAAUCGUGGCUUUUACCAUUGAAAGUAAUGGCAAAAACUGCAAUUACUUUUGCACCAACCUAAUAUUACUUUCUAAUGACAAACUUGGAAAUAAUUGUCAUUGUUCUCUAAAAAGAACAGCCUAAAAAUAAAGCAGCAGCCCAUUUACUUCUAUGCCAGUUCUUUUAGUAUUUGGUUAUUUAAACUGGUGGUCCCUAACCUUGUUGGCACCAGGGACUGGUUUCAUGGAAGACACUUUUUCCACGGACAAGUGUGGGGAUGGUGGGGAUGGUUUGGAGAUGAAACGGUUCCAUCUCAGAUCAUCAGCAUUAGAUUUUCAUAAGCGGCGCAUAACCUAGAUCCUUCGCAUGUGCAGUUCACAACAGGGUUCCACUCCUAUGAGAAUCUAAUGCCACCACUGAUCUGGCAGGAGGCGGAGCUCGCCCAGUAAUGAUAUGACAGGGGGCGGAUCUCACACAGUAAUGCUUGGACAGGAGGCGGAGCUCACACGGUAAUGCUCUGCCGGGAGGCGGAGCUCACACGGUAAUGCUCUGACGGGAGGCGGAGCUCACACGGUAAUGCUCUGUCGGGAGGCGGAGCUCACACGGUAAUGCUGUGACGGGAGGCGGAGCUCACACGGUAAUGCUCUGUCGGGAGGCGGAGCUCACACGGUAAUGCUCUGGCGGGAGGCGGAGCUCACACGGUAAUGCUCUGACGGGAGGCGGAGCUCACACGGUAAUGCUCUGCCGGGAGGCGGAGCUCACACGGUAAUGCUGUGACGGGAGGCGGAGCUCACACGGUAAUGCUGUGACGGGAGGCGGAGCUCACACGGUAAUGCUGUGACGGGAGGCGGAGCUCACACGGUAAUGCUGUGACGGGAGGCGGAGCUCACACGGUAAUGCUGUGACGGGAGGCGGAGCUCACACGGUAAUGCUGUGACGGGAGGCGGAGCUCACACGGUAAUGCUGUGACGGGAGGCGGAGCUCACACGGUAAUGCUCUGACGGGAGGCGGAGCUCACACGGUAAUGCUCUGACGGGAGGGCGGAGCUCACACGGUAAUGCUCUGUCGGGGGGCGGAGCUCACACGGUAAUGCUCUGGCGGGGGGCGGAGCUCACACGGUAAUGCUCUGCCGGGAGGCGGAGCUCACACGGUAAUGCUCUGCCGGGAGGCGGAGCUCACACGGUAAUGCUGUGACGGGAGGCGGAGCUCACACGGUAAUGCUCUGUGGGGAGGCGGAGCUCACACGGUAAUGCUGUGACGGGAGGCGGAGCUCACACGGUAAUGCUCUGGCGGGAGGCGGAGCUCACACGGUAAUGCUCUGACGGGAGGCGGAGCUCACACGGUAAUGCUGUGACGGGAGGCGGAGCUCACACGGUAAUGCUCUGGCGGGAGGCGGAGCUCACACGGUAAUGCUCUGCCGGGAGGCGGAGCUCACACGGUAAUGCUCUGACGGGAGGCGGAGCUCACACGGUAAUGCUCUGCCGGGAGGCGGAGCUCACACGGUAAUGCUCUGCCGGGAGGCGGAGCUCACACGGUAAUGCUCUGCCGGGAGGCGGAGCUCACACGGUAAUGCUCUGCGGGGAGGCGGAGCUCACACGGUAAUGCUGUGACGGGAGGCGGAGCUCACACGGUAAUGCUGUGACGGGAGGCGGAGCUCACACGGUAAUGCUCUGACGGGAGGCGGAGCUCACACGGUAAUGCUGUGACGGGAGGCGGAGCUCACACGGUAAUGCUGUGACGGGAGGCGGAGCUCACACGGUAAUGCUGUGACGGGAGGCGGAGCUCACACGGUAAUGCUCGGACGGGAGGCGGAGCUCACACGGUAAUGCUCUGGCGGGAGGCGGAGCUCACACGGUAAUGCUCUGACGGGAGGCGGAGCUCACACGGUAAUGCUCGGACGGGAGGCGGAGCUCACACGGUAAUGCUGUGGCGGGGGGCGGAGCUCACACGGUAAUGCUCUGGCGGGAGGCGGAGCUCACACGGUAAUGCUCGGACGGGAGGCGGAGCUCACACGGUAAUGCUCUGGCGGGAGGCGGAGCUCACACGGUAAUGCUCUGGCAGGAGGCGGAGCUCACACGGUAAUGCUCUGUCGGGAGGCGGAGCUCACACGGUAAUGCUGUGACGGGAGGCGGAGCUCACACGGUAAUGCUCUGUCGGGAGGCGGAGCUCACACGGUAAUGCUCUGGCGGGAGGCGGAGCUCACACGGUAAUGCUCUGACGGGAGGCGGAGCUCACACGGUAAUGCUCUGACGGGAGGCGGAGCUCACACGGUAAUGCUGUGACGGGAGGCGGAGCUCACACGGUAAUGCUGUGACGGGAGGCGGAGCUCACACGGUAAUGCUGUGACGGGAGGCGGAGCUCACACGGUAAUGCUGUGACGGGAGGCGGAGCUCACACGGUAAUGCUGUGACGGGAGGCGGAGCUCACACGGUAAUGCUCUGGCGGGAGGCGGAGCUCACACGGUAAUGCUCUGUCGGGAGGCGGAGCUCACACGGUAAUGCUCUGGCGGGAGGCGGAGCUCACACGGUAAUGCUCUGACGGGAGGCGGAGCUCACACGGUAAUGCUCUGGCGGGAGGCGGAGCUCACACGGUAAUGCUGUGACGGGAGGCGGAGCUCACACGGUAAUGCUCUGGCGGGAGGCGGAGCUCACACGGUAAUGCUCUGACGGAGGCGGAGCUCACACGGUAAUGCUCUGACGGGAGGCGGAGCUCACACGGUAAUGCUCUGACGGGAGGCGGAGCUCACACGGUAAUGCUCUGACGGGAGGCGGAGCUCACACGGUAAUGCUCUGACGGGAGGCGGAGCUCACACGGUAAUGCUCUGCCGGGAGGCGGAGCUCACACGGUAAUGCUCUGUGGGGAGGCGGAGCUCACACGGUAAUGCUCUGGCGGGAGGCGGAGCUCACACGGUAAUGCUCUGGCGGGAGGCGGAGCUCACACGGUAAUGCUCUGACGGGAGGCGGAGCUCACACGGUAAUGCUGUGACGGGAGGCGGAGCUCACACGGUAAUGCUGUGACGGGAGGCGGAGCUCACACGGUAAUGCUCGGACGGGAGGCGGAGCUCACACGGUAAUGCUCUGGCGGGAGGCGGAGCUCACACGGUAAUGCUCGGACGGGAGGCGGAGCUCACACGGUAAUGCUCGGACGGGAGGCGGAGCUCACACGGUAAUGCUGUGGCGGGGGGCGGAGCUCACACGGUAAUGCUCUGGCGGGAGGCGGAGCUCACACGGUAAUGCUCGGACGGGAGGCGGAGCUCACACGGUAAUGCUCUGGCGGGAGGCGGAGCUCACACGGUAAUGCUGUGACGGGAGGCGGAGCUCACACGGUAAUGCUCUGGCGGGAGGCGGAGCUCACACGGUAAUGCUGUGACAGGAGGCGGAGCUCACACGGUAAUGCUCUGGCAGGAGGCGGAGCUCACACGGUAAUGCUCUGUCGGGAGGCGGAGCUCACACGGUAAUGCUGUGACGGGAGGCGGAGCUCACACGGUAAUGCUGUGGCGGGGGGCGGAGCUCACACGGUAAUGCUCUGGCGGGGGGCGGAGCUCACACGGUAAUGCUCUGGCGGGGGGCGGAGCUCACACGGUAAUGCUCUGGCGGGAGGCGGAGCUCACACGGUAAUGCUGUGACGGGAGGCGGAGCUCACACGGUAAUGCUCGGACGGGAGGCGGAGCUCACACGGUAAUGCUCUGACGGGAGGCGGAGCUCACACGGUAAUGCUGUGACGGGAGGCGGAGCUCACACGGUAAUGCUCGGACGGGAGGCGGAGCUCACACGGUAAUGCUCUGACGGGAGGCGGAGCUCACACGGUAAUGCUGUGGCGGGAGGCGGAGCUCACACGGUAAUGCUCUGGCGGGAGGCGGAGCUCACACGGUAAUGCUGUGACGGGAGGCGGAGCUCACACGGUAAUGCUCGGACGGGAGGCGGAGCUCACACGGUAAUGCUCGGACGGGAGGCGGAGCUCACACGGUAAUGCUCUGGCGGAGGGCGGAGCUCACGGCAAGGCUCUGAGAGGAGAAGGAGCUCACAGUAAUGCUCUGGCAGGGGGCGGAGCUCACACGGUAAUGCUGUGACGGGAGGCGGAGCUCACACGGUAAUGCUGUGGCGGGGGGCGGAGCUCACACGGUAAUGCUCGGACGGGAGGCGGAGCUCACACGGUAAUGCUCUGGCGGGAGGCGGAGCUCACACGGUAAUGCUGUGACAGGAGGCGGAGCUCACACGGUAAUGCUCUGGCGGGAGGCGGAGCUCACACGGUAAUGCUCUGGCAGGAGGCGGAGCUCACACGGUAAUGCUCUGGCGGGGGGCGGAGCUCACGGCAAGGCUCUGAGAGGAGAAGGAGCUCACAGUAAUGCUCUGGCAGGGGGCGGAGCUCACACGGUAAUGCUCUGGCAGGGGGUGGAGCUCACACGGUAAUGCUCUGACAAGAGAUGGAGCUCACAGUAAUGCUCUGACAGGAGGCGGAGCUCAAACGGUAAUGCUCUGGCAGGGGGCGGAGCUCACGGUAAGGCUCUGACAGGAGGAGGAGCUCACACACUAAUGCUCUGACAGGGGGGCGGAGCUCACAGUAAUGCUCUGGCAGGGGGCGGAGCUCACAUAGUAAUGCUCUAACAUGGGGCGGAGCUCACAGUAAUGCUCUGACAGGGGGCGGAGCUCACGGUAAUGCUCUGGCAGGGGGUGGAGCUCACCCAGUAAUGCUCUGGCAGGGGGUGGAGCUCACACAGUAAUGCUCUAACGGGGGCGGAGCUCACACGGUAAUGCUGUCGGGAGGCGGAGCUCACAGUAAUGCUCUGGCAGGGGCGGAGCUCACCCAGUAAUGCUCUGGCAGGGGGUGGAGCUCACACAGUAAUGCUCUAACGGGGGCGGAGCUCACACGGUAAUGCUGUCGGGAGGCGGAGCUCACAGUAAUGCUAUGGCAGGAGGCGGAGCUCACACAGUAAUGCUCUGGCAGGGGGUGGAGCUCACCCAGUAAUGCUCUGGCAGGGGGUGGAGCUCACAAGGUAAUGCUCUGGCAGGGGCGGAGCUCACACAGUAAUGCUCUGGCAGGGCGCGGAGCUCACACGGUAAUGCUGUCGGGAGGCGGAGCUCACAGUAAUGCUCUGGCAGGGGGUGGAGCUCACCCAGUAAUGCUCUGGCAGGGGGUGGAGCUCACCCAGUAAUGCUCUGGCAGGGGGUGGAGCUCACAAGGUAAUGCUCUGGCAGGGGCGGAGCUCACACAGUAAUGCUCUGGCAGGGCGCGGAGCUCACACAGUAAUGCUCCAACAGGGGGCGGAGCUCACGGUAACGCUCUGACAGGAGGCGGAGCUCACAGAGUAAUGCUCUGGCAGCAGGCGGAGCUCACACGGUAAUGCUCUGACAGGUGGUGUUCACAGAGUAAUGCUCUGGCAGGGGGCGGAGCUCACACAGUAAUGCUCUGACAGGUGGCGGAGUUCACAGUAAUGCUCUGGCAGGGGGUGGAGCUCACACAGUAGCUCACCGGCCCACUGCUCACCUCCUACUGUGCGGCCUGGUUCCUAACAGGCCAUGGACUGGUAACAAUCUGUGGCCUGGGGAUUGGGGACCCCUGAUUUGAAUAAUCAAGGACACACUCACCUAGUAAACCGUCUGCCAAGAAAAAGGAGGAAAUGUUAGUUUUCUCCAUUCGUUCUCAGGCACCAACAUUAAUUUGAACUUAGAAAUAAACUACAAGGCCAGGCAUGGUGGUUUGUUCACACCUAUAAUUCCAGCACCUUGGGAGGCCAAGGAGGGAGGAUCACUUGAGACCAGCCUAGGCAACACAGUGAGACCCUGUCCCUACAAUUACAAAAUAAAUGAGCUGGGCAUGGUGGUGCACACCUGUAGCCCCAACUACUCAGAAGGCUGAGUCAGGAAGAUCACCUGAGCUGCCCAGGAGUUUGAGGCUGCAGUGAGCUGUGAUUGUACUACUGCACCGAUCCUGUCUCAAAAAAAAAAAAGAAAAGAAAAAGAAAAAAGAAACUAUACAAAAUAUCUGGAUUUUGAUGUAACACAAUACAAAGAUUACAUUUGAUUUUUAGGUCAACAAAUAUGACUAAAGUCACAACAGUAAAAUAUUUCAAAUGGAUUUGGAAAUAAAAGAAAGUUUGUUCAUUUAUAUUUUAUUUAAGAGCUGUGCCCAGUUUUAUCAUCUCACAAGAAUGAAGCAAGGGACAAAGGUAAGUGCCACGCUCCCUGGCCACUGGGUUCCUGGCAAGCUCCCAGCCACUAGGUGCCAAUCUCCCUUCAAUGUACUCCUUCUUCCCCAGAGUGCAGAAGCGUAUGAAGACAGUUAUGACAUGGACACAUGCAUGAGCUAUUAUACAUAAUUACAAAAGCUGAUUCUGUCAUCACCACAUCUUGUCUCAUCAGUAGGAGCGAAUGGCUGGCGGGACGGUGGCACAGUCAGCCUCGUUCAAAGUUUUGUCGAUCACGGGUCUGAGCUCCACACUGACCUUCCCAGUGCCAACGUCCACAUAGGACAGGGUGUGCUUCCUCCAGUGCUCCUCAAAGGGCUUCUUCUGUUGCCCCUGGAUGGGCUUGGAGUAAUCGUACUCAUCAAUCCGCACCUGAGGCCAGAAACACCAU
This 14047-nucleotide long non-coding RNA is filed under the name Homo sapiens (human). RNAcentral describes it as "non-protein coding lnc-CCDC127-1:7". The record is from RNAcentral. Lineage: Eukaryota; Metazoa; Chordata; Mammalia; Primates; Hominidae.